Non-coding RNA from Podarcis lilfordi (Lilford's wall lizard), 82 nucleotides. Lineage: Eukaryota; Metazoa; Chordata; Lepidosauria; Squamata; Lacertidae. The record is from the annotation of a GenBank genome assembly.
GCCUGGUACCAAUAGGCAGGGAGUUCUGAAGAGCACGAGACUCUUGAUCUCAGGGUGGUGGGUUCAAGCCCCACAUUGGGCU